This 5169-nucleotide small RNA is filed under the name Pongo abelii (Sumatran orangutan). RNAcentral describes it as "retained intron". The record is from RNAcentral. Lineage: Eukaryota; Metazoa; Chordata; Mammalia; Primates; Hominidae.
UCUUUUCUGCCAGGAGACUACAGUUAGGAAGUGACUCCUGGAAGAAAAUCCUUCAGGAUUCAGGACGGUCCUCGUCCUCGUAGGACACUCCAGGCACCUGCCUAGAGUAAGAUGGCGCUUUUCCUAAGCACCUCUCCGGGAGAGAGAUUUCCAUAACGAGGGUCACGCACUUGGAGGCCAUCUUUGCCAUUACCCAAGAUGGUGAGCCGCGCAGCCUCACCGUUUCCAGGUUUCAAUAUGGCUCCCCGCGUCACCGAAAAGGUUAAUCUCAGAAACUAACUUGAACUCGCGCGGAAGUGACGCAACAGAAGUUGUCGCGGUUUGCAUCUCCACCUCCCGUGCUCCGCCCCCGGUUUUACGUUUCGCCCCCGGCAGCGCGGACAGCGGAGCCAAGAUGGCGGCCGAGUUGGAGUACGAGUCUGUGCUGUGUGUGAAGCCGGACGUCAGCGUCUACCGGAUUCCGCCCCGGGCCUCCAACCGCGGUUACAGGGCAUCUGACUGGAAAUUAGACCAGCCUGAUUGGACUGGUCGCCUCCGAAUCACUUCAAAAGGGAAGACUGCCUAUAUCAAACUCGAGGAUAAAGUUUCAGGGGAGCUCUUUGCUCAGGCACCAGUAGAACAAUAUCCUGGUAUUGCUGUGGAGACAGUGACAGAUUCCAGCCGCUACUUUGUAAUCCGGAUCCAGGAUGGUACUGGUAAGAGAACUGGGAUUUUGAGUGGAACGCAGCCAUGAAAAGUGUGUCUGAUUGCAUUUAUCUUUCUUUGGUUUACUUCAUUUUUUCUUCCCUUUCUCUAAAGUUGCUAUAGUUGCUAAAGGAAAAGUAUUAACGUGUUAUUUGUAAUAGAUAAGCACAAGUUCAAGAUGUGGUAAUUCAUAUGUAGACUUAAAUAAAUCAAAAACACAUAGCUAACAAAUGAAUUAACACAUUUUGCACUUUAGGAGGCCGAGGUGGGUGGAUCACCUGAGGUCAGGAGUUCGAGGCCAGCCUGACCAGUAUGAUGAAACCCCGUCGCUACUGAAAAUACAAAACUUAGCCAGGCGUGGUGGCAGGUGCCUGUAAUCCCAGCUACUCGGGUGGCUGAGACAGGAGAAUCGCUUGAAUUGGGGAAGUGGAGGUUGCUGAGAUCAUGCCAUUGCACUCCAGCCUGGGCAACAAGAGCGAAACUCCAUCUCAAAAAAAAAAAAAAAACCACACACUUCUUGCCUGUUUAUUGUUUGUGGUAGUUUUUGGUGGGACUAUCUUGAAUCAUCUUACGUGUGGGGCAGUUAUUCUUACUCUUUUCUCCAUGGUCUAUAACAGAGGUUGGCAAACAGACAAAUAAUAAAUAUUUUAGGUUUUGCAGGUCAAGUGGCCUCUGUUGCAACUACUCAGUUUUGCUGUUGUAGUGUGAAAGCACUGUAGAAAAUAUGUAAACACGUUGAUAUCACUGUGUUCCAUGAAACUUUUUCUACAAAACCAAGCUAUGGCAGGAUAAAGCCCAUGGGCUCUAUGUAGUUUAUCGACUCUUGGUCUAUGAGAAGAUGUUUCACAUUCAGACUUUGUCUAGUUAGGGUGACUGUUAUGUUUUCAUUGGGCAAAAUUUGCCGUAGAGCAGCAGUCCUCAACCUUUUUGGCACCAGGGACCCGUUUUGUGGAAGACAGUUUUCCACAGACCGGCAUUAGGGGAUGGUUUCAGGAUGAUUCAAGUGCAUCACAUUUAUUGUACACUUUAUUUCUAUUAUUAUUACAUUGUAAUGUAUAAUGAAAUAAUUAUACAACUCACUAUAAUGUAGAAUCAGUGGGAGCCUUGAGCUUGUUUUCCCCCAACUAGACGGGGGUGAUGGGAGACCCCCAUCUGGGGGUGAUGGGAGACAGUGACAGAUCAUCAGGCAUCAGAUUCUCAUAGGGAGCACAUAACCUAGAUCCCUCACAUGUGCAGUUCACAGUAGGGGUCACACCCCUCUGAGAAUCUAAUGCUGCCACUGAUCUGACAGGAGGCAGAGCUCAGGUGCUAAUGCAAGUGAUGGGGAGCGGCUGUAAAUACAAUGAAGCUUUGCUCUCUUGUGUACAACUCACCUCCUGCUGCAUGGCCUGGUUUCUCACAGGCCACAGACUGGUGCCGGGGGUUGGGGGCUCCUGCCAUAGAGGAUACUUCUUAGUUGAGUCUUCCUACCUUUUCCACAGGGCGCAGUGCUUUCAUUGGCAUUGGCUUCACAGAUCGGGGAGAUGCCUUCGACUUUAAUGUCUCCUUGCAGGAUCACUUCAAGUGAGUGAAGCUUGUCCUUAGUUACGAGGUCGAAUGCUUGUAGGAAUGCUGCUUCUCACGUGAAUGGGCAGUAUCUCUUUUCCUCCUGGUUUCUUUAUUUCUUCAACUAUUUCAUUGUGAAUAUAAAUCUCCUCAUUCACUUUUGUUUCCUUGGGUCAUCUUUGUAUCUAUUCUGUUUCCUUUCCUUAUAGCCUGCAAUAUGUUUUAGAUCCCUUGUGCAGUAGUUUGAAAUGAUGCUCUGUCGAAUGUUGCCCCGUCUUUUAGGUGGUAGAGGGAGGCCUAUGGUAACAGCAGGGCUUUAUGUGGGGAGUUGUGUGCCACUCUUGUUACCUUAUGUAGCUGACAUGUUUUGUGACUUUUGCAACAUUUCUUUAGUCCACUUGAUUUUGGUGCAGCUGUGGUGACAGCACUAUGCACACUGUGAGCUUCCUACCUCAAGAGCAAGCAUAUCUCUCCUUUCCUGCCUCAGGACUCUCUGAAGUUAUAGAAGGCUAAGAGCAAGCUUUAACUUGGAGAGACUAAGAAACUAACACCCCCUCAGGAGCAGCCCUCAACUGUGGGGAAUGGGAAUUGGUGGCUAAAUGCCAUCCUUUUGGAAGAGGCAAUUCUAAUACGUAUUCCUUGAGAUUUCUCAGAGAGUCCCCAGUGGAAUUGAACCCCAGUAGUUUUCUUUCUUGGCUUUUUUCCCUUUUGUUUCUCACUCUUUUUUAUCUCUCACUGUGUUUUCUGGAAUCUCAUUUCAUAAAAGUAAAUACACCCAAAUUUGUAUGUCAGACUCUGCUUUCAGGAAAUCUCAAACUAAGAUAACUUGCUGUGUUCCCAAAGGUGGGUAAAGCAGGAAUCUGAGAUUUCCAAGGAAUCUCAAGAAAUGGAUGCUCGUCCUAAGUUGGAUCUGGGCUUCAAGGAAGGACAAACCAUCAAGUUGAGUAUCGGGAACAUUACAAACAAGAAAGGAGGUGCUUCCAAGCCCAGGACUGCAAGGGGUGGGGGCCUGAGCUUACUCCCACCCCCGCCAGGAGGCAAAGUCACUAUUCCCCCACCAUCCUCCUCAGUUGCCAUCAGCAAUCAUGUCACCCCACCACCCAUUCCGAAAUCUAACCAUGGAGGCAGUGAUGCAGAUAUCCUUUUAGAUUUGGAUUCUCCUGCUCCUGUCACGACACCAGCACCAACUCCAGUUUCUGCAAGCAAUGACUUGUGGGGAGACUUCAGCACUGCAUCCAGCUCUGUUCCAAACCAGGCACCACAGCCAUCCAACUGGGUCCAGUUCUGAAUGGCAUUGGCAGGACAUUAAGGACAGACUUGAGGAAUAAAAAUGACCUUGAGGGCACCAAUCUGUGAGGGAAGUUAGGAACCCAUUUCCUCCCCAGAAUCAAAAUGACUGGACAAUCUUUUUCGUAGCUUCUCCAUCACAUUCAAGCUGGUUUAUGUCACUCCCCUGUGUUGUUACUUGUACAGCCAAGAAAGUAUCUGUUAAUCUCCUGCUUAGUACCAAGGUAGGGGACUAGUGAAUCUUAUCAUAGUUUUGGCUGACUAUGCAGGGCUCAAAAGGCCAGCGUCUGUUUGAGGGGGAAUGACCUCUGACAUCUGUAAAAUUUGUCUCAUCUUUUAAAUUCUUUAACUUAUUUCAAAAUCAUCUCAUGACCCUCGUGUGCCUCUUUGUGAAGCCCUAUUUAGCAAUUUCAGGGGAGUCAAAAACCUUGCAACUUCCUUCUCCACUAACCCAGGACUAAAAAUGGACAGGCUGACCUUAGUGUUUACAAAUUCAGAAUUUUGAUAGGGGUAGAUAUGGAGAAAGACCUAUUUCCUGGGUCUCUGCUGUGUAGUCUCCUUCAGGCUUAUUGUACACAGUGAACAUCCAGUGCUGGGUGCAGCUCCAUCACCCUCUUGUGUGUUUACAUGUCUCUUUCUAUGAUAAGAGGGUUGUGUUGGUGGCACCUCCACUACUCUUUUCUGUUUGUUGAAUUUGAAUUGUGUAACAUCUUUGACCAGUGGGUGUUUCUGUAAUGAAGGAGGUUCAAGAGGCUGUGCUUUCCAAGUGAUAGUCUAUAGGAAUGUUUGAUUUCUUGCAGCUCCAUCUGGUUGCUGCAUUUGAAGCAUGGCAUUAAUUUGUAUUUGCCCUGUUGUUUGACCUUAAGUUGAAGGGUUUAGAGUUUUUAACCUGAUCUGUAGAGCAGAGAGGUUGAAAGCACUUAACUCUUGUUUAGUAUCCUCAUUGCCUUGCUGCCUGGGUAUCUGGCCCCUUUUCAUAAACAUUUCUUUUCAGUUCAUGUAGUUCUUUAAUAGAAAGCUGCUAUUAUGUAUAUUGUCAUUUGUGAAGGAAGUUGGAGAGUCACAGAUUUACUGUGACAGGUUUUGCCCAAGUCUGUGAUACCUGUCACCCAGGGUAUCUUAAAAGCAAGUUGUUCUCCCACUACUUUCCUUUCCCUCUGCCCUGCCAUUCCUUUUACAAUGCUGUGAAAAAAGUUCUGCUUCUUAGGUGAAUGGGUACUUUCUAUUUUGUUUCUAAAUGAGCAAUUUUGAGGAUGAAAUGGGAAGAUAUCAUUUCUUCCUUUUUGCACCUAUUAGGUAUGUACACUCUCUGGCUGAAGGGAGUCCUUAUGUUUAGUUUCAAAAUAUAUUACUUUCCUGGAUUCCCUUCUUAACGUUUUCUGACUUUGGGUCCAUUUUCUUUUCAUUGCCUCCUUUUCCAGGCAGCUCUAUUCUUGCAGAGCCAUGGCAGGACAUAUUAAAAUUCCAGUAGAAAACACUAAAAGGAAAGUCUGUAGAAUCACUAGUGACUAAAUACUGGGAACCUAUUUUCUCAAUCUUCCUCCAUGUUGUGUUCUUUGUAUUCUCAAGAUGAUAAUAUAUUAUGUAUUUGAAUUCCUGAAAAAUGGAAAAUGUUUAAGAUAUAUGUAUAUAAAGCAUAUGCUGUAUUGGUGC